GAGACAGCAGUAGCCACGGUAAUACGUAGGUCCCGAGCGUUGUCCGGAUUUAUUGGGCAUAAAGGGAGCGCAGGCGGUUUAGUAAGUCUGAAGUUAAAGGCAUUGGCUCAACCAAUGUAUGCUUUGGAAACUGUUAGACUUGAGUGCAGAAGGGGAGAGUGGAAUUCCAUGUGUAGCGGUGAAAUGCGUAGAUAUAUGGAGGAACACCGGUGGCGAAAGCGGCUCUCUGGUCUGUCACUGACGCUGAGGCUCGAAAGCGUGGGUAGCGAACAGGUUUAGAUACCCCAGUAGUCCCUGUCUCUUAUACA
RNAcentral lists this ribosomal RNA (308 nucleotides) under uncultured bacterium. Its description in RNAcentral is "partial 16S ribosomal RNA". It matches the Rfam family "Bacterial small subunit ribosomal RNA", at positions 505 to 808 of the family's 1533-position model. The record is from RNAcentral.